This 324-nucleotide ribosomal RNA is filed under the name uncultured Desulfobulbus sp. RNAcentral describes it as "bacterial SSU rRNA". It matches the Rfam family "Bacterial small subunit ribosomal RNA", at positions 29 to 339 of the family's 1533-position model. The record is from RNAcentral. Lineage: Bacteria; Pseudomonadati; Thermodesulfobacteriota; Desulfobulbia; Desulfobulbales; Desulfobulbaceae.
AACGAACGCUGGCGGCGUGCUUAACACAUGCAAGUCGAACGCGAAAGCGGCUUCGGUCGCAAGUAGAGUGGCGCACGGGUGAGUAACGCGUAGAUAACCUGCCUUCAUGUCCGGGAUAACACGCCGAAAGGGGUACUAAUACCGGAUACCCUCGCAUUUCACAAGUAAGGCAAGGAAAGGUGGCCUCUGACUCAAGCUACUGCAUGAAGAGGGGUCUGCGUACCAUUAGCUAGUAGGUGGGGUAAUGGCCUACCUAGGCAACGAUGGUUAGCGGGUCUGAGAGGAUGAUCCGCCACACUGGCACUGGAAUACGGGCCAGACUCC